GUCGGGAAUUUUGCGCAAUGGGCGAAAGCCUGACGCAGCAACGCCGCGUGAGGGAUGACGGCCUUCGGGUUGUAAACCUCUUUUCUCAGGGACGAUGAUGACGGUACCUGAGGAAUAAGCCACGGCUAACUACGUGCCAGCAGCCGCGGUAAUACGUAGGUGGCGAGCGUUGUCCGGAUUUACUGGGCGUAAAGAGCGCGCAGGCGGUCGUUCAAGUCGCGUGUGAAAGCCCCCGGCUCAACUGGGGAGGGUCACGCGAUACUGAUCGACUCGAAGGCGGGAGAGGGAAGCGGAAUUCCCGGUGUAGUGGUGAAAUGCGUAGAUAUCGGGAGGAACACCAGUGGCGAAGGCGGCUUCCUGGCCCGUUCUUGACGCUGAGGCGCGAAAGCUAGGGGAGCAAACGGGAUUAGAAACCCCAGUAGUCC
This 425-nucleotide ribosomal RNA is filed under the name uncultured bacterium. RNAcentral describes it as "bacterial SSU rRNA". It matches the Rfam family "Bacterial small subunit ribosomal RNA", at positions 354 to 796 of the family's 1533-position model. The record is from RNAcentral.